This is an RNA transcript of Hypomesus transpacificus, 4743 nucleotides long. It is a transcript of the gene named SWI/SNF related, matrix associated, actin dependent regulator of chromatin, subfamily a, member 1, with no coding region annotated. The transcript has 24 exons. The record is from RefSeq and is a predicted model, not a curated record. NCBI's taxonomy places the organism in Eukaryota, Metazoa, Chordata, Actinopteri, Osmeriformes, Osmeridae.
UUGUAACAUUUAUUUUCAUAUAUUGGCGAGAGAACGUUUACAGAGAGAGGGAAUUACGGUGUGCAGGGUGGAGAAGGACCGUACUCUCAUCUACAUUUGUUUGUAAAACCAGCCACGACUAAGAUCUUGAAAAGGAUAAAAGACAAAUGGUUGCGCCACAGAAAAAUGCUGUGAGGGAACUUUUCUCUGCCAUCUGUCACUUAAGCUCUUGGCUUCUUCCAUACAGCAUAGCUAUGAAAGAAAUAAUAACAUUACUGCUCUAGACUGGAUAUUUUAUAGUUGAUAAUAUUUUACAUCGUGCCAUUGUGUUUGAACGAAAUAAAUCAUAUCGACAAUUUCAGCAACAAUGACAGUGCUUUAUAUUUGGAAUAAAUUCAAUUAAAGUAUACAUUGCAUAAGAGAACGCUAUAUCGCUGAAUAUUGGGUGAACUAUUUGGCCUACUGUAUAAUCUGUGGUAAAUACAAAAGCAAACCUUCAAAAUACAUUUGCUUGUACUCAUCAGUAACUAAUCACUAGUCGCCCUCUCGUGGCGCUCAAUCACAGGUUCAUAAAAUGAAUUGUGUAAACUCACGACAUCGAUCAAGUAUUUUCACAAAGGUCGUUAGUCACCAGUGUAGUAAUUUCAGGGUGACACAAGAUGUUGGUUGACGGUGUUUAGGAUGUUUAUUUCUUAAUUCACAGUGGGAAUGCCCCUGUUACUUGUGGUAUCGCGGCAUUUCACUGCCACAUCCGCGCGAGAGAUGUUCUGUGCCAGGGGGCGUGUACAGGGCUCGCUCCUCUCACAGUGACGUAGGAGGUUUUUGGCCAUGUCGAACUUACAGUGACUGAAAUCAAAUAACGUUACCGAGCCAGCUAGCUAACUGAUGAAAAAUAGAUAUUCGACACAAUGUCAGAUGAAGAGGUUCCGUCAACUUCCAGAGAGCCUGAUCCUGAAAUGGAUGAGCAGGCAGCUGAUGACCCACCUUUCCAGCUCGAGACCCCCCCCAAGGCCGUGGCUAGAGUCGAGGGCGAUGUGGACCCUGAGUAUGAGGAAAAGCGGAAAACAGACCGAGCGAAUCGUUUUGAGUUCCUGUUGAAGCAGACAGAGCUGUUUGCACAUUUUAUUCAGCCUGCGUCCCAGAAAUCUCCCACUUCCCCUCUGAAAGUGAAGCUCGGACGCCCGCGUGUCAAACAGGACGAAAAACAAAACCUGCUCUCUAUCGGAGAUAAUCGUCACAGAAGAACAGAACAGGAAGAGGAUGAAGAGCUUCUGUCGGAGAGUAGGAAGGCUGCCAACGUCCUUGUCCGCUUCGAAGAGUCUCCCUCCUAUGUUAAAAACGGAACGCUGAGGGAUUACCAAGUCAGAGGGCUCAACUGGAUGAUCUCUCUGUACGAGAACGGCAUCAACGGGAUCCUCGCUGAUGAGAUGGGCUUAGGGAAGACCCUGCAGACCAUCGCGUUGCUAGGAUACCUGAAGCACUACAGGAACAUUCCAGGUCCUCACAUGGUGUUGGUUCCCAAGUCAACGCUUCACAACUGGAUGAAUGAGUUCAAGAGAUGGGUGCCAACUCUGAAGGCUGUUUGUCUUAUCGGAGACAAGGAUGCUCGGGCUGCGUUUGUGCGCGACGUGAUGAUGCCCGGAGAGUGGGAUGUCUGUGUGACGUCAUAUGAAAUGGUCAUCCGGGAAAAGUCAGUGUUCAAGAGGUUCAACUGGAGAUAUUUGGUCAUCGAUGAAGCUCACAGGAUCAAAAAUGAGAAAUCCAAACUCUCUGAGAUUGUGCGGGAGUUUAAAACCACCAACCGCCUCCUUCUGACCGGCACGCCGCUGCAGAACAACCUGCAUGAGCUGUGGGCCCUGCUCAACUUCCUCCUACCGGACGUCUUCAACUCUGCCAACGACUUCGAUUCUUGGUUCGACACAAACAACUGUCUAGGGGACCAGAAGCUGGUUGAGAGACUGCAUGCGGUUCUGAGGCCUUUUCUCCUGCGUCGCAUCAAAGCGGAGGUGGAAAAAAACCUACCUCCUAAAAAGGAAGUGAAAAUUUACCUGGGACUGAGUAAGAUGCAGAGAGAAUGGUACACUCGCAUCCUGAUGAAGGACAUCGACAUCCUGAACUCUGCGGGGAAGAUGGAUAAGAUGCGUCUGCUGAACAUCCUCAUGCAGCUGAGGAAGUGCUGUAACCACCCGUACCUGUUUGACGGGGCCGAGCCGGGGCCCCCCUACACCACAGACACACACCUGGUCAUCAACAGCGGCAAGAUGAUGGCUCUGGACAAGCUUCUGCCCAAAGUCCAAGAACAAGGGUCUCGAGUGCUCAUCUUCAGUCAGAUGACCCGCGUCCUUGACAUCCUGGAGGACUACUGCAUGUGGAGGGGUUACGAGUACUGUCGUCUGGACGGGAACACGUCACACGAAGCCAGACAGCAAGCCAUAGAGGCCUACAAUGCUCCAAACAGUAGCAAGUUCAUUUUCAUGUUGAGCACCAGAGCUGGGGGUUUGGGCAUAAACCUGGCAACCGCCGAUGUGGUCAUCCUGUACGACUCUGACUGGAACCCUCAAGUAGACCUGCAGGCCAUGGACAGGGCUCAUAGAAUUGGUCAGAAGAAACCAGUGCGUGUGUUCCGCCUCAUCACUGAUAAUACAGUCGAGGAGAGGAUUGUAGAGAGAGCUGAGAGGAAGUUGAGGCUAGACUCCAUUGUUAUUCAACAAGGUAGGCUGAUCGACCAGCAGUCCACCAAACUGGGGAAGGACGAAAUGCUGCAGAUGAUUCGCCACGGCGCUACGCACGUGUUCGCCUCCAAGGAUAGUGAGCUCACGGAGGAAGACAUCAACACCAUCCUGGAGCGAGGAGCUAAGAAGACGGCGGAGAUGAACGAGCGCAUGGAGAAGCUGGGGGAAGACUCUCUCAGGGACUUCACCAUGGAUAUGGGAGCAGCGGAGACCAGCCUCUACAACUUUGAAGGGGAGGAUUACAGAGAGAAGCAGAAACUGAGCAUGAUGGAGUGGAUCGAACCUCCUAAACGAGAGCGCAAAGCCAACUAUGCUGUGGACGCCUACUUCAGAGAAGCCCUGCGCGUCAGUGAACCCCGCGCCCCCAAGGCUCCUCGGCCGCCCAAACAGCCCAGCAUCCAGGACUUCCAGUUCUUUCCCCCUCGCCUGUUUGAGCUGCUGGAAAUGGAGAUCCUUCACUACAGGAAGACCAUAGGCUACAAGGUGCCCAGGAGCCCUGAUGUCCCCGGCUCUGCCCAGGUGCAGAAGGAGGAGCAGAAGAAGAUCGAUGAGGCGGGGCCCCUGACGGCGGAAGAGACGGAGGAAAAGGAGAAGCUGCUGACCCAGCUGGAACAAGCGAGAUUUCAAUCAGUUCAUCAAAGCCAACGAGAAAUACGGCCGUGACGACAUUGACAACAUCGCCCGUGAAGUGGAGGGCAAAAGCCCUGAGGAAGUCAUCGAGUAUUCCGCCAUUUUCUGGGAGCGCUGCAAUGAGCUCCAGGAUGUUGAGAAGAUCAUGGCCCAGAUCGAGCGUGGGGAGGCUAGGAUCCAGCGCAGGAUCAGCAUCAAGAAGGCUUUAGACGCCAAGAUCGGGAGGUACAAGGCUCCGUUCCACCAGCUGAGGAUCCAGUACGGGACCAACAAAGGCAAGAACUACACGGAGGAAGAGGAUCGCUUCCUCAUCUGCAUGCUGCACAAGAUGGGCUUCGACAAGGAGUGCGUCUACGAGGAACUGAGGCAGUGUGUCCGGAACGCUCCGCAGUUCAGAUUCGACUGGUUCAUCAAGUCCCGGACCGCCAUGGAACUGCAACGCCGUUGUAACACACUCAUCUCUCUCAUCGAGAAAGAGAACCUGGAGAUCGAGGAGAAAGAGAGAGCUGAGAAGAAGAAAAGAGCUCCCAAAAGCCAAACAGCUCACAAAAGAAAAGCGGAUGGAUCCUGCGAAGCUGGAAGAAAAGACAAGAAGUCCAGAGCCUGACCUGAAGCCUGGGUCAGAGCCUGAAGCCUGGGUCAGAGCCUGAGGCCUGGGUCAGAGCCUGAAGCCUGGGUCAGAGCCUGAGGCCUGGGUCAGAGCCUGAGGCCGGGUCAGAGCUGAGGAACACUUUGCGUAAUCAAUCAUUCAUCUGAAUCAUCAUAUUGAGGUCACAGGUUUGGUCGAUCAUAAAAAAGAAAAAGAAAUGUUAGUCAACAAAACACAGCUGUUGUUACUUGUCAAAGUGAGUGGCUUCUCUAAUUUUGUAAGACAUUUUGUAAAACUCUUUUUGCAGUUGUUUGAUGCACUUUGAAACCUAACAUGCUGUCGUGUCAGUCUAAAUCUGUUCUGUUGUUUUAUCCAGCUCCGGGCAUGAGAGGUCAUAAGCUAGUGCCGCUAAGGAGAAUGCCACAGAGCGUUAGAUGGCAUUUUGGUGGAUAUUGAAACCUGGCAUGGUUUCAUAUGUAACAUUUGCAUCCCCCGAGCUGGUGUUGUUUGGCAGCGUGAUGAAGAAAAACAGCUUUGUAUGUUUUCUGUUUUGUUUUUUGCAUUUGGCUCUUGCAGGUCUGUGUUCGACAUAUUCUCUUACGAAAAGUCAUUUGUAUGCACCUUGUAGCCCAUCGCUUAGUUUGCACAAUUACUGCUCUUACGUUAAAUUACAUUUUAUCUCACCUUUUAAGCUUAACUUGAGUAGUAGUAUUUUAACAAAACAAUGAUGUACCCUGCUUUUGCUAUAUAAUUUUUUUUAUGUUUGAGUUCCGUGUUAUUAAAACAAAACCAGACAAAUCUGGUUCUACGUUA